AAAUUGAAGAGUUUGAUCAUGGCUCAGAUUGAACGCUGGCGGCAGGCCUAACACAUGCAAGUCGAACGGUAACAGGAAGCAGCUUGCUGCUUUGCUGACGAGUGGCGGACGGGUGAGUAAUGUCUGGGAAACUGCCUGAUGGAGGGGGAUAACUACUGGAAACGGUGGCUAAUACCGCAUAACGUCGCAAGACCAAAGAGGGGGACCUUCGGGCCUCUUGCCAUCAGAUGUGCCCAGAUGGGAUUAGCUAGUUGGUGAGGUAACGGCUCACCAAGGCGACGAUCCCUAGCUGGUCUGAGAGGAUGACCAGCCACACUGGAACUGAGACACGGUCCAGACUCCUACGGGAGGCAGCAGUGGGGAAUAUUGCACAAUGGGCGCAAGCCUGAUGCAGCCAUGCCGCGUGUAUGAAGAAGGCCUUCGGGUUGUAAAGUACUUUCAGCGGGGAGGAAGGUGUUGUGGUUAAUAACCACAGCAAUUGACGUUACCCGCAGAAGAAGCACCGGCUAACUCCGUGCCAGCAGCCGCGGUAAUACGGAGGGUGCAAGCGUUAAUCGGAAUUACUGGGCGUAAAGCGCACGCAGGCGGUCUGUCAAGUCGGAUGUGAAAUCCCCGGGCUCAACCUGGGAACUGCAUUCGAAACUGGCAGGCUUGAGUCUUGUAGAGGGGGGUAGAAUUCCAGGUGUAGCGGUGAAAUGCGUAGAGAUCUGGAGGAAUACCGGUGGCGAAGGCGGCCCCCUGGACAAAGACUGACGCUCAGGUGCGAAAGCGUGGGGAGCAAACAGGAUUAGAUACCCUGGUAGUCCACGCCGUAAACGAUGUCUACUUGGAGGUUGUGCCCUUGAGGCGUGGCUUCCGGAGCUAACGCGUUAAGUAGACCGCCUGGGGAGUACGGCCGCAAGGUUAAAACUCAAAUGAAUUGACGGGGGCCCGCACAAGCGGUGGAGCAUGUGGUUUAAUUCGAUGCAACGCGAAGAACCUUACCUGGUCUUGACAUCCACAGAACUUUCCAGAGAUGGACUGGUGCCUUCGGGAACUGUGAGACAGGUGCUGCAUGGCUGUCGUCAGCUCGUGUUGUGAAAUGUUGGGUUAAGUCCCGCAACGAGCGCAACCCUUAUCCUUUGUUGCCAGCGGUUAGGCCGGGAACUCAAAGGAGACUGCCAGUGAUAAACUGGAGGAAGGUGGGGAUGACGUCAAGUCAUCAUGGCCCUUACGACCAGGGCUACACACGUGCUACAAUGGCGCAUACAAAGAGAAGCGACCUCGCGAGAGCAAGCGGACCUCAUAAAGUGCGUCGUAGUCCGGAUUGGAGUCUGCAACUCGACUCCAUGAAGUCGGAAUCGCUAGUAAUCGUGGAUCAGAAUGCCACGGUGAAUACGUUCCCGGGCCUUGUACACACCGCCCGUCACACCAUGGGAGUGGGUUGCAAAAGAAGUAGGUAGCUUAACCUUCGGGAGGGCGCUUACCACUUUGUGAUUCAUGACUGGGGUGAAGUCGUAACAAGGUAACCGUAGGGGAACCUGCGGUUGGAUCACCUCCUUACCUUAAAGAAGC
This 1554-nucleotide ribosomal RNA is filed under the name Salmonella enterica. Its description in RNAcentral is "bacterial SSU rRNA". It matches the Rfam family "Bacterial small subunit ribosomal RNA". The record is from RNAcentral. Lineage: Bacteria; Pseudomonadati; Pseudomonadota; Gammaproteobacteria; Enterobacterales; Enterobacteriaceae.